Molecule: long non-coding RNA, 1284 nt
Filed under: Anas platyrhynchos platyrhynchos (common mallard)
Lineage: Eukaryota; Metazoa; Chordata; Aves; Anseriformes; Anatidae
Description: lncRNA (ENSAPLG00000029079.1)
Source: RNAcentral
CAUCACAUCUGUUGAGACACACUACUUGUAAGGUUAAAACCUUUUGAAGUUUAUCUACCUAUUCAACUGGUGUAAACAGUGGAAAAUUGAGAUGUCAUUAAUAAUCAGUAUUUUAAUGCAAUACUUAUAAGAGUUAGGUAUUCCCCAAACCUUGGGUUGUUUACCUAAGAGUAAUCCUAUUUCACUACAAAUUCUCACAGAGGCAAUAGAACAGUCAGGGAAACCAUACAAGGGAUUUGCCUCGGCACUACUGUAGCAGCAGCUUCCUGACUGGGGGUCAGUAAGAACAGUUCAGAUGUUUUUGCAAAUAAGACUGCGUAGCCACAGCUACGUUUGGUGCUGGCAAUGGUUCAUCUGCCGAAGGGGGUUCAGUUUGUACUGUGAAGUACACCCUGCAAACAUUCCAGAAUGGAAAAAGUUGCAGGAUCAGGAAAGGAACCCUGAAUCAGACAUCCACGUACACUCUGCCCCAGUUUCAGAGGCUUGGCAGAUUACCUUAUGGAUGGGACAUAAGGACUACAGCCCAACACAGUUCCAGCUAUCCAGUGCCUGGAUUAAGUACUGGAUGGGACAUCAUCUAGAUCAAAUAAAGUCCUCCUGUAUCUCAGAAUACCACAUCAUAUAAUUCCGUUCAUAGAGCUAUCGGUCAUCAUCUUUGCUUGUCAAGGAUUCCUACCAUUGUUCCUGUUGAGCUCUAGCUCCCUCAAUACUGCAUUUCAGUCAAAGGUAAACAAAGCUUCUUUCAAACAAUUUGUGAUUCAUUGUGUGGCAAGGUUGCUCUAAAGGAGGCAUCCUGUGAUGACAUGACAGUUUUUGCAAAUUGACAUUGGGACCACACUACUGUCCCAUGAGAGGAUGACUUCCUAAUCAGUAGGUGUAAGAAAAGGAGACAGGUAUAUAACAGCAUGUUGAAUCUUCAAGAGGAAAGGAGUCAAAAGGAGUCAUGGAAUGUAAGCACAGUGCAGUUCCUGGGAGCUUUAAAAAAAAAAAAAAAAAAAAAAAAAAGGAAAGAAAAGAAAAAAAGAGCUUUUGAUAAAAUAUACACACCGGUUCAUUUAAUAGUCUAUACCAGUUUGAAAGUCCAAGAGUAAUGUUUAAGACUACUGAUGUCCCCUAGAGAAAGGAAAAUUUUAUGGAUUAAAUACUUUAUCCGAAAGAGAAAUAGAUCAGCUGCCAUACCACAACCUUGCAGCCUGAGGCAGAAAUACUCGAUAUAUUAAAUUGCUAUAUAAACAACCCAUGUCUGAAAAUAAAGUGCUCUAAAAACUAGAAGAAAAAAAUCCA